Molecule: long non-coding RNA, 372 nt
Organism: Oncorhynchus tshawytscha (Chinook salmon)
Lineage: Eukaryota; Metazoa; Chordata; Actinopteri; Salmoniformes; Salmonidae
Source: Ensembl
GUUGUAGAGAGGUUUGGGAGGGUUGUGAAGGUGUUUGUUGGGGAUGUUGUAGAGAGGUUUGGGAGGGUUGUGAAGGUGUUUGUUGGGGAUGUUGUAGAGAGGGUUGUGAAGGUGUUUGUUGGGGAUGUUGGGAGGUUUGGGAGGGUUGUGAAGGUGUUUGUUGGGGAUGUUGUAGAGGGUUUGGGAGGGUUGUGAAGGUGUUUGUUGGGGAUGUUGUAGAGAGGUUUGGGAGGGUUGUGAAGGUGUUUGUUGGGGAUGUUGUAGAGAGGUUUGGGAGGGUUGUGAAAGUGUGUUCUCUAUGUUGAUCAUCGGAACUCAUUUGAAGGUAACCUAUACACACAAAUGGAAGUACGGAGGUAGUUUUGUGCCCCC